AUUGAACGCUGGCGGAAUGCUUUACACAUGCAAGUCGAACGGCAGCACGGGGGCAACCCUGGUGGCGAGUGGCGAACGGGUGAGUAAUACAUCGGAACGUGCCCGGUCGUGGGGGAUAACGUAGCGAAAGGUACGCUAAUACCGCAUACGAUCUGAGGAUGAAAGCGGGGGACCUUUGGGCCUCGCGCGAUCGGAGCGGCCGGUGUCAGAUUAGCUAGUUGGUUGGGUAAAGGCCUACCAAGCCGACGAUCUGUAGCUGGUCUGAGAGGACGACCAGCCACACUGGGACUGAGACGCGGCCCAGACUCCUACGGGAGGCAGCAGUGGGGAAUUUUGGACAAUGGGCGCAAGCCUGAUCCAGCCAUUCCGCGUGCAGGACGAAGGCCUUCGGGUUGUAAACUGCUUUUGUAUGGAACGAAAAGGCUCUGGCUAAUACCUGGGGGUCAUGACGGUACCGUAAGAAUAAGCACCGGCUAACUACGUG
This 484-nucleotide ribosomal RNA is filed under the name uncultured bacterium. Its description in RNAcentral is "partial 16S ribosomal RNA". It matches the Rfam family "Bacterial small subunit ribosomal RNA", at positions 30 to 507 of the family's 1533-position model. The record is from RNAcentral.